Molecule: ribosomal RNA, 776 nt
Filed under: Hypothenemus ingens
Lineage: Eukaryota; Metazoa; Arthropoda; Insecta; Coleoptera; Curculionidae
Description: partial large subunit ribosomal RNA
Rfam family: Eukaryotic large subunit ribosomal RNA
Source: RNAcentral
UGAAACCGUUUAGGGGUAAACCUGAGAAACCCGAAAGGUCGAAGAAAGAAAUUCAUUCGCGUUUCGUAAUUGGCGUUGAGAGGAAUUGUGUGACAAUAAUUGCUUUUUUAGUAAUUUUUGCAUCGUCUUUUCUACGUAUCCGAUUACGAACGUGUGCACUUUUCUUUUGGUAGGACGUCGCGAUCCGUUGGGUAUCGGUUUAAGGUUCUCACGGUGGAGCCCGUUUUUUAUACAUUUAUAUGUAUUUUAAAUGGACCCGUGUUAUCCCAACCGAUUCACUCGACGGUAUAUAAAAGGUUUAAGGCCGCUAAAUAAAUAAAAGCGUUUGACUCGUAACAAGCUCGUUAGUUAUUAUUUUUUUAUAAAAUAAUAUAUGUUGAAAUUCGGACCUAGUGCCGAUUUUAACAGCUGACGAUUUGCUUGAUUAUGAAGAUUCUCAAACAGACCGAUAUUUUUGUAACCGAUCUGCGACGAUAUAGAUUUGGGUACUUUCAGGACCCGUCUUGAAACACGGACCAAGGAGUCCAGCAUAUACGCAAGUCAUUGGGACUUAUAUUAAACCUAAAGGCAUAAUGAAAGUAAAAAUUCUCACUUAUGUGGGGAAUUAAGGGAAGACAAGUGGGGUGAUAUUUAGCCAUUAAAAGCGACCACUUUGCAUUCCUGGGGCGUCUCAUUCUCAGUAUAUUAUCCUUUAUUGGUGAUAUGCGAGAAGAGGCGCACCAUGAGCGUAUACGCUGGGACCCGAAAGAUGGUGAACUAUGCCUGGUCAGGACGAA